RNAcentral lists this ribosomal RNA (255 nucleotides) under uncultured bacterium. Its description in RNAcentral is "partial 16S ribosomal RNA". It matches the Rfam family "Bacterial small subunit ribosomal RNA", at positions 99 to 354 of the family's 1533-position model. The record is from RNAcentral.
CGGACGGGUGAGUAACGCGUGGGUAACCUGCCUCAUACAGGGGGAUAACAGUUAGAAAUGACUGCUAAUACCGCAUAAGACCACAGUGCCGCAUGGCACAGGGGCCAAAGCCUUGACGGUAUGAGAUGGACCCGCGUCUGAUUAGGUAGUUGGUGGGGUAACGGCCUACCAAGCCGACGAUCAGUAGCCGACCUGAGAGGGUGACCGGCCACAUUGGGACUGAGACACGGCCCAAACUCCUACGGAAGGCAGCAG